Molecule: non-coding RNA, 507 nt
Organism: Pseudonaja textilis
Lineage: Eukaryota; Metazoa; Chordata; Lepidosauria; Squamata; Elapidae
Source: RefSeq, a predicted model, not a curated record
AAGUGCAAUGGCUAAUUCAUAAACAUGUAUAUGUUGUUUUGUCUUAUUAAUGCACUUUUUUUGGGGGGGGGGGAUCUUGCUUAGCUGUGGUUUGUUCAUUUUUUUGCAUUUUUUUUAGUUUGUAUAUUAACGUUUCAAAUAAACUAACAAAGUUGAACCAAAAAGAAGUGCCGUAGCUAAGAUAAGAUGCAAGACAGCAUCUUCUGUUUGAAUGCCCUGAUUAGCUUACAUUCUGGUAAAGUUUUGCCUAAGUUACAACAGUUGGAAGAUUGAAAACGGAUGGUUUACUGCAGAUAAACAGCUGAAGAAGAAGAAAAAUGGCUUAAAAGAUUACAUCAAGGCAAGCUAACAGAAAAAAAAAAUACUCAUGCAAUUUGGCAAAUAAAACAGCCUGAAAGUAGUAAAAGCAAAAAAACAAAAGACUAUAAAAGGGAAUUGUAGAAAAACUAUUUGGAAAAUUGAAGAAGUUAACCAUCACACACCCAAGAUAUAACAAAAACCUGAAAA